CGCUUUUACACAGGCAGACGGGUGAGUAACACGUGGGAAUCUACCUUUUGCUUCGGAACAACUCCGGGAAACUGGAGCUAAUACCGGAUACGCCCUUUUUGGGGAAAGAUUUAUCGGCGAGAGAUGAGCCCGCGUCGGAUUAGCUAGUUGGUGGGGUAAAGGCCUACCAAGGCGACGAUCCGUAGCUGGUCUGAGAGGAUGAUCAGCCACACUGGGACUGAGACACGGCCCAGACUCCUACGGGAGGCAGCAGUGGGGAAUAUUGGACAAUGGGGGCAACCCUGAUCCAGCCAUGCCGCGUGAGUGAUGAAGGCCCUAGGGUUGUAAAGCUCUUUCACCGGUGAAGAUAAUGACGGUAACCGGAGAAGAAGCCCCGGCUAACUUCGUGCCAGCAGCCGCGGUAAU
RNAcentral lists this ribosomal RNA (405 nucleotides) under uncultured bacterium. RNAcentral's name for it is "bacterial SSU rRNA". It matches the Rfam family "Bacterial small subunit ribosomal RNA", at positions 85 to 524 of the family's 1533-position model. The record is from RNAcentral.